Molecule: long non-coding RNA, 330 nt
Filed under: Brassica napus (rape)
Lineage: Eukaryota; Viridiplantae; Streptophyta; Magnoliopsida; Brassicales; Brassicaceae
Description: long non-coding RNA (BNAP_LNC011125)
Source: RNAcentral
UCUCUCUUCUCUUAAGAGAGAGAAAUUUCUCUCGACCCCUCUUAUCAAAAUUCCAUCUUUCAGAGGGGGAGAGAUUGAGCUGAGCAUUUUUUGUCUAUAAAAUAGUUUGAUCGUCGAUGUUAUACUUCUGCUUGCGGAUUCCAGUUUGCGUUGGCGAUUGUGCUUUGGUUUAGCCGAAUUUUGUUGUGACUUUUCAAAUCAAAUUGAAGCUGUUCUUCAAGUAUUUUGUUUUUUUCUUUGGUUUGAUUUGAAUAAAUAAAGUUUAGGUCUUUUGAUCGGAUUUUGGGGUUAGCUCUCUGUAUUCCAGGAGAUAUUAGUGUAGAUCUCUGG